CCUUGUCCUCAAUUUUAAUUGUAGCCCCUGCCACACAUAAGACACAAUGAUUCAAGGUGGAAAACGGAAAUCAAUGUGGGGUUUGAAAUUUGAGUUGAAUCCUGCCUCAUGCCCUCUGAGAGUUGGAUACUUGGUAACUUCUCUGAGUUCCAGGUUCUCCAUCUGCAACAUGGGCAUAAUCUCUGGCAUUUAGUAGGCAGACACAAAGAAUAAAACCUGCUCACAGAGCCGAAUAGAUCCCAGAGUAUUAGAACACCUUAAUAAAUGCCAAAAAUAGGAACAUUCUCGUUGAAGUUAACCCAGAUGAAUCUAGCCUAAUGUUCCUGCUAUCAAGCUAGGUUGCUACUUCCUGUCUUUUCUUGUCAUUAACAAUGAUCAGCAUUUUGCUCAUUAAUUUUCUUACUUUACAUCAAAUUCUAUGGUUCUGACUGGAAUUUUUUCAUUCUUGCUGCCGUUCUGAGUAUGUAAUUAUAAUAAAAAAUAAACUUUAUUAUUAAAAAGUAUAUAUCUGCCCCGUACUCAUCCCCCAAAAAGACUCCCAUAAAGAACAAGUGGACCAAAAUAUAGGUACAUAGGUCUGCUUCAUCUGAUACCUAAAGAUAAGCUGUAUGUGGCCCUGUGAAGAGAUUCCAUUUGUCAGGUAGAAAUAGCCACUCACUGCCCACUCCAAACGAUACAGUCUCCCAACACUCAGAUCAAAUGGGGAGAUGCAUUAGCAUCAUCUUCAAAAGCAAGCCAAGGGAUGACCUUCUCUCCUCAGACUCAGUCAUCUGAGGCUGUGAGGACAGCUGGUCUUGCCUCCACCGGACUGUCCCCUGCAGCCAUCAUAAAGUCUGGGA
Ceratotherium simum simum (southern white rhinoceros) is the source of this 839-nucleotide non-coding RNA. Lineage: Eukaryota; Metazoa; Chordata; Mammalia; Perissodactyla; Rhinocerotidae. The record is from RefSeq and is a predicted model, not a curated record.